Molecule: ribosomal RNA, 863 nt
Filed under: uncultured Actinomycetes bacterium
Lineage: Bacteria; Bacillati; Actinomycetota; Actinomycetes
Description: bacterial SSU rRNA
Rfam family: Bacterial small subunit ribosomal RNA
Source: RNAcentral
GUUUGAUCCUGGCUCAGGACGAACGCUGGCGGCGCGCCUAAAACAUGCAAGUCGAACGAGAUACCCGGGCUUGCCCGGGUGGACAGUGGCGAACGGGUGAGUAACACGUGAGGAACCUGCCCCGAAGACCGGGACAACACCGGGAAACCGGUGCUAAUACCGGAUGCCCUCACCGGACCGCAUGAUCCGGUGAGGGAAUGGAUUCCGCUUCGGGAUGGCCUCGCGGCCUAUCAGCUAGUUGGUGGGGUAACGGCCCACCAAGGCGACGACGGGUAGCUGGUCUGAGAGGAUGUCCAGCCACACUGGGACUGAGACACGGCCCAGACUCCUACGGGAGGCAGCAGUUAGGAAUCUUGCGCAAUGGACGAAAGUCUGACGCAGCGACGCCGCGUGCGGGAUGAAUGCCUUCGGGUUGUAAACCGCUUUCAGCAGGGACGAAAUUGACGGUACCUGCAGAAGAAGCCCCGGCCAACUACGUGCCAGCAGCCGCGGUAAUACGUAGGGGGCAAGCGUUGUCCGGAUUUAUUGGGCGUAAAGAGCUCGUAGGCGGUUUGGCAAGUCGGAUGUGAAAUCUCCAGGCUCAACCUGGAGGGGUCAUUCGAAACUGCUAUGACUAGAGUUCGGUAGAGGAGUGUGGAAUUCCUGGUGGAGCGGUGAAAUGCGCAGAUAUCAGGAGGAACACCCGUAGCGAAGGCGGCACUCUGGGCCGAUACUGACGCUGAGGAGCGAAAGCGUGGGGAGCGAACAGGAUUAGAUACCCUGGUAGUCCACGCCGUAAACGUUGGGCACUAGGUGUGGGGUUCUAUCGACGGAUUCCGUGCCGUAGCUAACGCAUUAAGUGCCCCGCCUGGGGAGUACGGCCG